CACCCUCCAAGCCUCGCUUGAUGUUGGACGGUGCGUCAGUGACUUCUGACGCACGUCUGGAACGUGUAGACGUCCGUCCUGUCGAGACACCUCGAGCGUAGCAAGACUUUUCUGGUCAUUUUUCGCUUUGUAGGGACUCCAGCGGACUGCCCCUCUGACUUAGGGAGUCAAACCCCCUAAAUCAACUCAAGA
RNAcentral lists this unclassified non-coding RNA (192 nucleotides) under uncultured Venturiales. RNAcentral's name for it is "sequence contains ITS2". Lineage: Eukaryota; Fungi; Ascomycota; Dothideomycetes. The record is from RNAcentral.